RNAcentral lists this ribosomal RNA (396 nucleotides) under uncultured bacterium. Its description in RNAcentral is "partial 16S ribosomal RNA". It matches the Rfam family "Bacterial small subunit ribosomal RNA", at positions 523 to 918 of the family's 1533-position model. The record is from RNAcentral.
AUACGUAGUGACAAGCGUUAUCCGGAUUUACUGGGCGUAAAGGGCGUGUAGGCGGUCUUGCAAGUCAGAAGUGAAAUUCCUGAGCUCAACUCGGGCGCUGCUUCUGAAACUGCAGGACUUGAGUGCUGGAGGGGAUAGCGGAAUUCCUAGUGGAGCGGUAAAAUGCGCAGAUGUUAGGAAGAACACCGGUGGCGAAGGCGGCAAUCUGGACAGUAACUGACGCUGAGGCUCGAAAGCGUGGGGAGCAAACAGGAUUAGAUACCCUGGUAGUCCACGCUGUAAACGAUGAAUACUAGGUGUAGGGGGUAUCGACUCCCUCUGUGCCUCAGUUAACACAAUAAGUAUUCCGCCUGGGGAGUACGGCCGCAAGGUUGAAACUCAAAUGAAUUGACGGGG